AGAGUUUGAUCCUGGCUCAGGAUGAACGCUGGCGGCGUGCCUAAGACAUGCAAGUCGUGCGGUAACAGGGAGAGCUUGCUCUCUGCUGACGAGCGGCGGACGGCUGAGUAACGCGUGGGAAUUUGCCCCAAAGUGAGGAAUAACUGCCCGAAAGGGUGGCUAAUGCCGCAUAUGCUCUUCGGAGUAAAGCUUUCGAGCGC
This 200-nucleotide ribosomal RNA is filed under the name uncultured bacterium. Its description in RNAcentral is "partial 16S ribosomal RNA". It matches the Rfam family "Bacterial small subunit ribosomal RNA", at positions 8 to 218 of the family's 1533-position model. The record is from RNAcentral.